Molecule: long non-coding RNA, 251 nt
Filed under: Ananas comosus (pineapple)
Lineage: Eukaryota; Viridiplantae; Streptophyta; Magnoliopsida; Poales; Bromeliaceae
Description: long non-coding RNA (ACOM_LNC035379)
Source: RNAcentral
AGACCCGCCCGAAGGUUGUCUAUGGCCCUGAGACCCACCCGUAGGCUGUCUGGCCGAUGCCGAGCCUAAUGGCCCCGUGGUAGUCAUCAUCCCCACCCUAGGAAUGAGCCUGGCCCACGGCAAUCCACUUCGGCGCCCAAUCCCGCACGGCGAAUACGAAUCGCGAUGGCUAUCUCCGGAGUGCCGGCUUGUAGGGAGCGACCCUCACAAGCAUGUGCGAAUGAGCACAAUGGCAAGUAGUCAUACGUCCU